This 468-nucleotide ribosomal RNA is filed under the name uncultured bacterium. Its description in RNAcentral is "partial 16S ribosomal RNA". It matches the Rfam family "Bacterial small subunit ribosomal RNA", at positions 28 to 507 of the family's 1533-position model. The record is from RNAcentral.
GAUGAACGCUGGCGGCGUGCUUAACACAUGCAAGUCGAACGGAAGGGCCAUGCUUUUGUGGGGUGCUCGUGUGGCGAACGGGUGAGUAAAACGUGAGUAACCUGUCCUUGUCUUUGGGAUAUCUUCAGGAAACUGGGGCUCAUACCGCAUAGGAGCUCCUGAAGCACGUUGGGGGUUGGAAAGAUUCGGCGGUUGGGGCUGGUCUAGCGGCUUAUGCGCUUGAUGGUCGGGUAGUGGCUGUCAAAGGCUGCGACGGAUAGGCGGCCUGAGAGCGUGGACAGCCACAAUGGGACUGAGAUACGGCCCAGUCUGCUACGUGCGGCAGCAGUCGAGAAUAUGGCGCAGUGAGGGGAAGCGUGAGGCGACGGCGCCGCGUGCGUAAUAACGUCCUACUGGGGGUGAACCGCUUUGUCCGGAGCCGAGGCGUGAGUGACGGUAACUGGUAAGAAAGCACCGGCUAACUACGUG